UUUGUUUCACUUGGUUUUUACUGACCGUAUUCAACCACAAUUCAAUGCGAAAGUCGACUUGACUUUCGACUGAUCAUUAUAGAUUAUUGUUACACACUGUCACAUCUCCUUAUUCAAUAUCUAUUAAUCUCAGAGUCCCACGUCCCAGACAUUGUGUGUGUUGUCUUGUCAGGUUAUGUUCAUAGAUCAUGGCAAUGGGCAUACCCAGUUUCCAACAAAAAGUUCCUGAUCUGAUGCUUCAGCUAGCUUUGUGGCCCAACAAUGGUGGGUGGAUUAUAAACAAGGUGAUAACAUUUCUUUUUUUUACAGUUCCUCUUGAGUCUUGACUUCAUGGAUCAUGAGCAUUCGUCAAUUCCCAGUUUUCACAAAAAGGAACAGUUAAUUCUGUACAGCUAUUCAUGGACUGAAUCUGUUGGUGUGGUGGUGGGGGUCACUCCCAACGACUGCAACCACCCCUGCUCUCAUAGGUUUUUAUGUGUAAUGACUUGUGGUCAUGGAUGAUACGGUGAUUAUUUUGGCGGAGGAGAAUCUUGUAUGAAUGUGGCAUGGCAUUCUAGCUCAAUCUGCUCAAUCAGCAGUUCAAUUUGUUCCUCAAUCCAUUUGGUUUCAACAUUCAAUCAGUGAUCCAAGUUACGACAUAACGGAUGUUUCUUUCUACUCAACAAAAUAAGGUUAGAAUCAUUUAUAAACUUUCAUUGUGUUUCGUUAUUAGCUUUUAAAAGUGGGCUUGUUAGUCGUGUUAGUCUGACAAGUUUUUCAAGGUGAUCGUUUAUCACAUGCCCUUUUUUGGAA
Long non-coding RNA from Daphnia pulicaria, 792 nucleotides. RefSeq lists it as uncharacterized. The transcript is spliced from 3 exons. The record is from RefSeq and is a predicted model, not a curated record. Lineage: Eukaryota; Metazoa; Arthropoda; Branchiopoda; Diplostraca; Daphniidae.